CCCUUGCAAAAGUAGAUGCAUUUAGUCUUUUAUACCUCUCAAUGUAGUCUGGGUCCAUCAUGGGAGGAACUGGGUCCCGUGGAAGAGGGACAUGAUUGUGCUAGGGAUGGACCGGAUGGCCAUGUGGUGGUACUGGAUAUGAUAUGGUGAGGGAACCGAAUUGUACUGUGGUGGUACCAGAUGAUGGGGUUGGGGCACCAGGCUAUACUGUGGUGAUAAUGGUUGAUGCGGUUGGGGUAGGGUCGUACUGGGGUAGCUCCGGAUCCUCCUGCUGCAGAGGUGGCUCAAACUGUAGCAACGAGGGAGGGUCAGGUAUCUCC
This 320-nucleotide long non-coding RNA is filed under the name Carica papaya (papaya). RNAcentral's name for it is "long non-coding RNA (CPAP_LNC003913)". The record is from RNAcentral. Lineage: Eukaryota; Viridiplantae; Streptophyta; Magnoliopsida; Brassicales; Caricaceae.